RNAcentral lists this ribosomal RNA (459 nucleotides) under uncultured bacterium. Its description in RNAcentral is "partial 16S ribosomal RNA". It matches the Rfam family "Bacterial small subunit ribosomal RNA", at positions 338 to 795 of the family's 1533-position model. The record is from RNAcentral.
CCUACGGGAGGCAGCAGUGAGGAAUAUUGGUCAAUGGGCGGGAGCCUGAACCAGCCAAGCCGCGUGAGGGAAGAAGGUACAGCGUAUCGUAAACCUCUUUUGUCAGGGAACAAAGGCGGGGACUAGUCCCCGGAUGAGGGUACCUGAAGAAAAAGCAUCGGCUAACUCCGUGCCAGCAGCCGCGGUAAUACGGAGGAUGCGAGCGUUAUCCGGAUUUAUUGGGUUAAAAGGGUGCGCAGGCGGCCUGUUAAGUCAGCGGUAAAAGCCCGGGGCUCAACCCCGGCGAGCCGUUGAAACUGGCGGGCUGGAGUUGGAGAGAAGUACGCGGAAUGCGCGGUGUAGCGGUGAAAUGCUUAGAUAUCGCGCAGAACCCCGAUUGCGAAGGCAGCGUACCGGCUCCACACUGACGCUGAGGCACGAAAGCGUGGGUAGCGAACAGGAUUAGAUACCCCAGUAGUC